GGGGGAAAAAGACGCGUCCCGGAUGGAAGCGAGAAGACUGACACAACAGCAGACUGACUGUUUUUCAGUUCUGAUUAGACUCUAGUGUUGAGAUGUCUGUCUGUCAUGAUAGCAUGUACUGAGUCAGGGCCAGUACUAGAUAAGCUCAUUAAACUAUAAUCCAUAAACGUAAGGUAACAACCGAGACCUAACGUUGCUGUGACAGCAACGUGAUUAAGUUUUAAGGUGUGAUUAAGUCUGAACAGGUUAGCCUACAAGCUAAAGUUACUUAGCACAGAUGAAAGUUAAAACAAAGACGUUUAGCAAACUGUUAAAGCACACAAACCAUCGUCACAUGAGAGAUCUGACGCUAUGACUCUCCACAAGUUGUCCUUCAGGUCGUUGUCUUUGUAAUAUUUGUCUUUUAUCAAAAAGCACUCUGUUCUCCGACAGGUAAACGAUCAGCCAGUCGGCCAUGUUGGAUAUACCAGUGAAUCUGACGUCACAACAACACGAAAUCUGAUUGGUCAGAAGUGGACACACAGUAUGCGAAACUUUAGAAAAUUCGACCAUGAUGAAAAAAUAAAUGCUGCAAUAUCGCAGGACGGGAAAACGUUGCUGAUGUGAACGCUUGUAUUGACAGGAUACGGGUUCGAAAAAAAAUAUUGACGUCCGAAAUAAUUGCAUGAAAAAAAUGCUCCUGGUGUGUAAGGACCUUAACACUGUCUUGCUUUUUUUCUGCCUCAGCCACUGAAUGUUGGCGGUGGAGGCCAAAAACAGAGCAAAAUACCAAAUAUAUAUACAGUAAAAGCAGCUUCCAAUCUGACCUGAAAGUUUCCAAACUGGAACUCCAGAGGAGUGUAAAUGUUUGGCAUUAACAGGGAGAUUACUGGAUGUUGCACUCUGGAUGAUCUUAGAAUAACUACACCUAAGGCUAUGUUCACACUGCAGGUCAAUUCCGAUUUUUUGACCAUAUGUGACACAUAUCUGAAUUUAAGUGUGAACAGUGCAAUUCCGUUUUUUUCAAAUCCGACCCAGGCCUCUUUUGUAUGUGGAUAUAAAUCAGAUGUAGCCGAUGUGACUGCAGUGUGGACGCUCAGGUCGUGUUCAUCCGACUUAUACGUCAUCAAUAUGCAACAAACGUCACCAUUGUUCGAAAACACAAACAGGCGAAAUUUGUGUGCAUGCGGGUCACUUCAUGGACGCAUUCCAUUCACAUUACAUGCCACAUUCAUUGUUGUAAUGUGAACAACCGCACAAAAAGAUCGGAUUUAACAAAAAAUCGGAAUUGUGCAUCAUAACCUGCAGUGUGAACGUAGCCAUAUUGACAGUGACAUUUUGUGCAUUCACUCCUGCAAGAUUACAGUGUUAUUCGAAAUUUUUGAAUCCUAAAAGUUGAAUUUAAUUGGUGUUUGGUAUUGGAAGAAGUCAAUACAAGAUCAUGAGAUCCAUCAGCUCUGGUAAAAACUACAAUAGUUCAAACAUUUACUCUUAAAAAUCUUUAUUCCUCCUGGUGAAAAGAUCACUGUCCUCCUAAAUGGCGCUCCCAGGGAGGGUUAUCCUUUAGUUCCACCUCCGCCUGCAUGUACCCCAACAUUGCAGCAAUCAGUAUAAAUUAAUAAUAGGCGAAUCAAAGUGCUUAAUUUAAUGGCGGCUAUGAAAGAUUAAUACUUGACAUUAUCCAAGCUGCUGUGCUGUAAGGAGACCCACCCAUGCCUGAGGUAAACCAAUCACACUUCUAUGAAUAUGACAUUAGACACGUUGAUGUGAUGUGUUACAUCAAUGUCAGGCCAAGACUUGAGUACAGCGAGUGCGGAUGGAAAGUCCACGGAGUGUGACUGGUCUAUUUCUGUCUCCCCUCCCUCCCUCUCUCCCCUCGCUCCUUUCUCACUGGGUCCAGAGGCGAGAGAUCAGUUCAGGGUGGAGGAGAGCUGGUGUUUGGCCUGAGGGGCCCUUGGACACAGAUUCUGUCAUUGUCCACAGCUGCCACUCAGCCCCCCCCCUCUCUGUGGCCAUCCUCACCUUAAGGGCGUCCCCCGCUACCCCGCCUCCCUAAUGAAGAGUGACACGCGUCCGGAGGAUCUGAUCUAGUCUGAAACGAGGGGCCCUUGCCUCCUCUGUUUUGUCUCCUAUUAUUGACUGUGCUGGCUCACACUGAGUCGCCGUGAUGAGAGCACAAAAUACCCAAGAGGCAUCGCUCCCAAAUCAGAGUGGGGGGCACAAAGGGCAGAUGUGAUUGUAUAGAACUGUGAGGACCUAAUUGUCUUUAUUCAUGAGCUGUGUGAUUGAUAUUAGAGGAAAAUGAGACACUCUAAUUGUCCUCUUAUAUGAGAAUUUUCAUACAGGCCCACACUCCGAUCAUGUGGCUGUGUGUGUGUGUGAUGCGCAUGCAUGCAGCUGUGGGCGUGUGCGUGCACGACCGGGUGAGAUAUCAAAGUGACAACUCCUAAAGGGCAUCUAUGCAGCGUUCUGUAGACAUAUCACUUGAAAUAAUAAUCUUGUUGUUCUUUCUGACAGCCUCUUGCCUUUAUUUUAUCGCUGAAUUCAGACAUAAUCAGGAGGAAAUGGAUACUCGACCUCCUGGUGGAAAAAAAGACACCUUUUGGACGGUCUUCAGGCAAGAUACAGUCUUAAAAUCUUUAUUCUUUUACUGCAUCUCAUAAGGUUUUUCAUCCAUGGUACCUGCCCACAACGCCAAAACUCCUGCUGAAUGAUUUUCAGUCUACAGAUGGGCUAAAUGUUGCUGUUAAAGCAACUAGGGCAUCAAUAAGACCUCAGCAGAGUAUUUCUGAUUGGCAAAGCAGAGCUCCAACCAAGUAUUGAGAGUAUAAAUGAAAAUACUUUCUAGAAAUUGAAUGUUUUUGUAUAUAAAAGCCAAUAUUCAAGUCAUACUGGAUACUAAAUUCCCAUGAGCUAUGAGCCACUAUUAUCAAAAAUUACGACAAAGGACUAAACUUGGACUAAACUACGAUAAAAUAGAUCUGUGAUAUUCUAAUUUGUUCAGGUGCAGUCUUCAUUUUUCCCAUCAUCCCUUAAAGUUGUUGAAUUCCUCCUGUCUCGCUCCGUCUGAAGGCGUCAUAUAUCCUCUGAGGUUUUAUGAUGUUUGCACACGGAGAAAUAUUGACACCGAACUCCCCCUCUCUUCCAACGUUGGGGCAGUCCAUCAAAGUUUGAAUAAAUACUCUUUAGAAAUCCCCAGUAGACCUUCAAAAUAAAGUUCAGAGGGGUUUCUGUAUUAGGAUAAUUGACCAUUUUUAGUAUUUACCACACUUAAAUCAGCUUUUCAGUUUCUUUCAGGAGGUUUUAAAGUGAAAAAGUAAGAAAUACAAAGAUUUUUUGAAACAAUGGCGACCUAGAGUAAUGGAGUUAAUAAUGGAGGCAAUAAUUGUCACCCACUAAAGACAUGAUGAAAGCUCUUGUGAGAAGUUUUUUUGACAUUUAUCUAACAGACUGAGUUCAUUUUGUUGUCCUUUUAUGACACGACCAUCAGAAACAAGACUGUUGAUUUUCAUAUCAUAAUUUUUAAUCACAGAAACAAGUGCAAGAAACAAGAGUUAAGUGUCAGUGAAGAUGUCGAAGUCAAAUUACCUUAACUUUAUUUUCCGUUUCAAAUAUUUAACAAAAAAUGAUACAUUUGACUGUCAAAAAUUACUUUAACCUACUUAAGUUAACUCAGCAUGGAGAAGACGAGAUAGGUAAUUACUGCUUUGUCCACAGGGGGUGCCAAAGUUGACUCAAACCAAAAGGGGAUUUAAAGAGCUGUAAUUGUGGUUCAUGCAACAUUUCCUGCUUUGGCAUAAACUUGCGAUCCUGUUAAGCUGUAAUGUUAUAAAAAUGUUCUGGUAUCCAGGCUCCCACUGAUCACAAGUUUAUUUUAUCCAGAAAGGAAAGAUGUCAUAUGUUCUGUUAAUUUAGUUUUCUCCUGGUUUUAUUUGAGUGCAUUUUGUGUAUUAUCCCUUGUGUUUCUCUUCCCUAUUGUUACUGUCGUCUAGUCUUGUGAGUUUUCAGUUUGUGUUUGACCCUGUUCCCUCAUGUUCUCAGUGUUUUAUUCUUUAGAUCAGUUUUCAGUGUUUAUUUCCUCUUUUAUUUUGUAGUAGUUGAUUCCUUGUGUUUCUAGUCUGGUUUUACUUCCUCAGUUUGCCCUCCUUCGUUAGUCACCCAUGAGUUUCACCUGUGCCUCGUUAGCCUCACCUGUUGCUCGUUACCCAGUGUGUAAACGAAUUAUCUGUGAUGUGCAAUAUCAUGUGCAAUAUAUCUUAUUUAUCCCACUGACUUAUCCCCCUUUGCAUACGUUUACACUCUGACUGCAUUGCUUGUGCACUUUGUAAAUCGUUCAUUUAUACUUUUUGUAUUUUUAUUCUGUUGUAUUGUUCUUUGUAUUCAAUUGUGUGUUAUUUGUACUUCUUUCGGUCGAGCGGUUCUUCUCAUCCAGGGCGUUUCAUUGCAUUGUUGACUAUGUUUAACCUGCAUAUGACAAAUAAACUAAUCUUGAAUCUCAUGUAUAUAGUCCCUGUCUUCCCCUUUGCCCUUGUUGGUUUAUUGUGUGUGCGUUUGUCGGUCAGUGAGUGUCUCUCAUAGUCGUUGUUGUAUCCCUCAUCUCCUUGUGUUUUUUUCCCCCCAGGAUUUUGCCUUUGGAUCUUUUAGUUGGACGUUUUUAAAGAAAGUUUUUGUAGUUUUUCAUUUAGUUCUUUUUAAAUUAAUUAUUUGUUCUGCAUUUGGGUCUUUUUCUUUUGUUUAACCCUGGCUCAUGAUAAAAGAAACAUCCAACUCUGAGCCAAAUUCAUGCUCACUGCGUCCAUGGUGCUGCACGAGUUCAUAUGGGUCACCAUGAUAUGUAUAAUAAUGUCCAUGAAGGAUUCUUGUGUGGCACACAGAUGCAUGCGACCUCGCUCAUUGUACACACUAUAAACCUGCAUUAAGUGGAAAAUCUUCUUAUCUCUCCCAACAUCCUCCUUUCUGCCCCUGUUGCCUGUAUAUGUUAGUGUAUGUAGAUGAAUAGAGGUGCAUCUAACGGGUUGGGUUCUGGUCAUACUAAUAUUUUAAAGUAUGCAUAUGCAACUCUUGACCUUAAAAGGUCCCAAAUGGAAAAGCUUUGCGGUUAUGAUGACAUAACCGCAUAAGCCUCUCCUACAUGUUGGUGGCAGCACCCCCGAUAAUCAUUAGCCCAGCCCUCUAAGGCUGUGUCCAAAAUAGAACCCUAACCCCUAUAUAGGCGACUAUAUCGGGGUUAGUGCCAUUUUGAGGGGUGAGUGAUCAAUUCCAAUGCCCCAUAUAGACAACUUAAAAUUUCCCAUAGAGCAUUGCAAAAUGUAGUGACCAUCCGAUGGUCACUCACCGGUGGUGGGCAUCCCGUCAUGCAUUGCGUGAGACCAAGAAGAGACAGAACCCGAGCAAAUACGUUUUUUAUCUUCACUUCACUCGCGAGGGAUCCGUACAGUUUUCGAAAAACAAUUGUUUGCUGCGUCAUAUAGUCUUGUGCACAAUAUGUCGCAGCAAACAAUAUUCAGCAUGAAAAUAUAAGGCCUUUUAAAUAAAUUAUGAAUUUAUUGUUUUUUAUAUUUAUUUUUUUAUUUCACAAACAUCCUGGAAAAACAAAUACAUCUAUACAACAUCAUAAAAUUCAAGAAAUUUGAAAACAACAGCUGCAACUUCAGACGCGGCAGUCUGAGCAGUGACGUCAAAAUGGUGCGCCACGUAGUGUCCGAAACCUCCGGUGAUUGAGUUCACUACAUAGUCAGCUAUAUAGUGAAAACCCAUAUGGGGGUUAGGGUUCAGGGAUUGAGUGAUUCAUUUCGGACACAGCCGAAAACUUGCUUGCUUGCUGAGGCAGCGUCCGCCAUUUCUUCCCCUCGUAUACGCCGCUCUGGUACAGCAACCAUGUCGAAGCUAUGACAAACUGAAGGUUCUUACACACCAGCGAAUUUGCGUAGCGAAGCGAAAAAGCGAGACGAAAAUACGAAAAUAUUCGCCAGUCCGAAAAAUCGCUUUCGCUUAUACACACUGGGCGACCACUCUGUGGUACACACUCUCUCCCAUCGUUGCUUUUGGUGCCAGUGGUGGUGUGUGUCAUGUGAACUGCAGCCGCAUGGGUCUGUGACGUCAUCAACAACAUGACUUUUGAUUGGCCAGAGGUCUAGCAGGUCCAGAUAUUCGCCUGCAAAAUCUCCGAAAAAUUUGACACAAGAGCGAAAAAAUAAAAGACGCUUUUCGCCCCGCGGAAAAAUCACUGCAAGUUUGGAAGCUUGUAUUGACUUUAUGCUGUUUUAAUAAAAGGCGAAUAAAGGUGAAUAAUUCGCCUGGCGAAUUCGCGCCUGGUGUUUAAGGACCUUAAGACAGGAGUCUAUUUCUGCCUCCUUCAUCUAAAGAUUUGAGGACCCAGUGGAUUAAUUUUAUUUUUGAUGGAAAUGUACCCACAACGACCCCGAAAAUGUUUGUGUGCUAACCAUUUCACCACGGACUGUUUUACCAACGAGGGGCACUUCAAAUCAGGAUUCGCUAAGAAGCUGAAGAUAAAACCUGGAUCCGUACCGACUAUCUGUAUCAGGGACCCAACUUCAAACAUGGAAGCUUUAAGUUUGACCAUUUUACAGAAACACAGUGGUGUACACUCCAAAUAAGAAACCAAACCACAGUAUACGUUUCUGCACUUGUAGCUGAAUCUGCAGGCAGAGACAUGACUUAUCUCCACCAAUCACACCCCUGAAGCUAACCUGCAAACUCUUCACUGUAACAGUGUUAGGUCCAGUGUGACUCUGCCUGUCUAUCUACCUAACAACCAACCUAUACUCUCCGCCCAAGCGACCCAACAGAGUCAUGAUUGAAACUCACGUGGGAAAACACCUUAAAUUGCUCAGUUAAGUGUAAAUUAAUGUGUGUGUGUAUGUGGGCCACCGUGCACGCCUGCACACACCUCGCUGCAAAAUGAAGAUGAAAGCAAGGUGUGUAUGUUUAUGCAUCCAUGCAUGCGUGCAAAUGUGUGUGAAUGCAUGCAUGCACGUGUGUGUGUGUGUAUUUGUGAGUGUGCAUCCACCAGUGUAAUGUGAUAAGCUCCAGCAAAGCACAUACCUGAUGCCAUUAAAUGCAAUUUCCCCUGUGUGUCAGCACAGCCAUUUGUCAGCUGCUAACACUGCACGCUUUAUUAAAAACCUCAUCCGCUUCAAUUAACUGCGCCCGCAAAGCAGUUUAACUCCACUCUAAUCCUGUCAAGAUGUUUUAACAGGCCGUGCGUACUGUAGGUACAUCAUUUCAAACCCUGUUAGUGAGGGUUUUAUGAUUUUUUCAAGUCUUUUUUUAAAGUUGUGGUUCAGUUCCUGAGAGACUAGAGCAGAGUGAGUGUGCAGUUUUUUCUCCCGCUGUUGCUUUUUGGGUGUUUAAUGGAUUUCUAAACUAUAAUCCACCUCUAUGUAUCUUUUCACAGUGCUCUUGAGACUAAAUAUAAGGAGAUUAAAUGACAAAUGCUCAGGAAUAAGGCUUUAAGUUUGGUGCAAAGGCUUGCAACUAGAGGACGAGAUUGGGAGGGAGAAAAGGCACAAUACUUUUCUCAAAGGGAGUGAAGUUUUUUACAUCUAGGUCCAACGUACGAUAUACUGAAGUAGCAAUUCAUGUGCUUAAAGGGAUAUUCCCGCGUAAAAUUAAGUGGGUCAAACACACUGUAACAUCGAGUUAGACACCCCGUCGAGAGAUGAAUGUUGUCGACCGCUUGCUUCUCUAGUUAUACCAACUUUAGUAACGACUGCAGAUAGCAAUACAGAGAGCCACACGCUCAACAUCUUUUAACUUUGCCUGAUUUCUUUAGCAAAGAGACUAAACACAACUCACUGUCUCUCUUCCAGCAGCCGCUUGUUGUACGGAGACCUCCAGGUGAGUCCAUUGACUUCAGCGGGGUGACACAGCUCAAGGAACAACAUUGAUGAUCAUUACUUUAUCAUUUCCUUGAAGUAAUAAUCACCAUAUUAAUCACAAUGAUCAUAAAUGUUCUUCCUUGAGCUGCGUCACCCCGCUGCAGUGGAUGGACUUGCCCGGAGGUCUCCGUACAAACAAACGGCUGCUGGAAGAGAGUAGGUGGGUUGCAUUAAGUCUCUUUAGAAAUUAGGCAAAGCUUAAAGAUGUUUGGUGGCUAGUGCUAUGACUGGGACCCUAUAUGUACUGUUGAUGAAGUUAGGUGCUGUUCUGAGCAUUAUUUGUGGCUAUAGAGUGGCGUUUUGGUUGAGGUUUGUUUUUGGCUCCUGAGACCGCUGUGUAUUGCUAUCGUGCGGUCGUUACUAAAGUUGGUAUAACUAAAGAAGCAAGCGGUCGGCAACAUUCAUCUCUUGAGGGUGUUUAACUCAGUCUUACGGUGUGUUUGACCCUAUAUUAAUUUUACGCCGGAAUUCAACUUUUCAAAGCUCCUAUGAGGAACUUUUAGGAGUUCAUGGGAAAGACUUAUGGCUAACCAUCAGCAUCAAAACUGACAAUUUCUGACAAAAUCACAUUAAAAAAAAUGUGAUUUUUUUCAUGCAUAUGACCACUGUUAACUUUCAGUAGUAUACUAGUUUGUAAGUGCUAUUAAAACUACAACAGUACUUGUCUCCAAGUAAGGAACAAAUUUCCUUCAUACCAGCCCUGUCACCAAAAACUUUUCUUUUUUGAUUUUGCCAAACUCAGAAUUUUACUCUUUUGAUGCCAAAUGCCAAUGUUUGAAAAACUGGCAGAAUGAAUUUGUACAUCUCCAAGUUUGUUGAGACUAUUUGUCACCUUUGCUGUGAAACAUCACCCCUUUUAAAAGUUUGGAUUUCAGGCUCAGCAGCACGCUUUGGUACUUUUUACUUGUGCCAGGCCUCCGCAGAGAAGUGUCCCUGAUUGUUUUACAUGAAAACUUCAGUAUUCUGGUGAAGAGAUGAUGAGAGUCUGCUGUCAGCACCUUUGACCAAACCUGCCUGUUUGGUAAAGACAGUCAGCCUCAACGUGGUAUACAAAGGGAGCUGAUUAGGGGACUGAGGGGCAGGUAUGUGGGCAGGUGAGAAUGAGAAGAUUGGCAGGAAGAGGCUGCUGCUGCAGGAAGGUGAGAGAGCAAAGAGUCUGAAAUGACAGGAGGGGUUAGUGGCAGCAAAUAGACAUCAGACUGAAUAAUAAAAAAAGCUGAAAAAGGCAUUUAAAAACUGCAGAAUAGUCCUUUAAAGCUUCCUCUGCGAAAUUAAAUCUUUGCAAAAAGGCACAGAGUCAGAAGGACUGAAAAACUGCACCCCGCAAGGACAUCACACAUGCUCCUACGCUUUCUUUCCUUGAAAACACACACACAUGCACGCACGCACGCACGCACGCAAGCACGCACACACACACACACACACACACACACACACACACACACACACACACACACACAAAUCAUGCCAGCAGGGAGCUGAUGGUUAGCAUGGCUCUGUCACUGGGGAUCCAGGGUAGGGUUUGCAGGAAAGAGAAAGGUGUAAAUUGGGUGAGCGCUGGGUGCAAAGCCUUGAGAGUGAAGGUUUUUACUCUCCUUUUUGAUGCUUUGUCACUCACACACUUCCCCUGAGAUACAGGUGAGGAAGGGGCGCUGGAGGGGGAACUACUUGGUUCACUUUAUUUUUGUUUAAAUUGUAUCUGGAUUAUGACUCUUGUGAAAGAAAAUCACUAUUUUUACUCAUAUAACCUCUUGUUUCAAUAGUUUUCAUUUUUCUUUGUUUUUUUUUGUUUUGUUUUUUUAAUUUUAAUUUUUUUAAUUUUAAUUUUUUAAUUUUUUCUCCUUCACUUUAAAAUAUUUUUUAUUUUUUUAUUUUUUAAUUGCCUUUUAUUUUUAUUUUAAAAGUAUUUUUCUUUUUAUUUACUUUCCCUUUUUAAUUUUCCUUUCUUUGUUUUUUUUAUUGAUUUAUUUUUCAUUUUAUUUCAUUUCAUUGUUUGCUUUUUAAUUUUACUUAAAAAUAUUUUUCUUAUUUUUCUUUUUAUUUACUUCCACUUUUUAUUUUCAUCCUUCUUUGUUUUCAUAUAAUCUUCAUUUUUUUAUUUAUUUUAAUUUUGGAUGCUUAAUAAUAUAUAUUUUUUAAUUUAAUUUUAAUUAACACAUUUGUGUACUUGUUUGUAAGUUAUUUCUCAUUACUCUUUGUGUUUUGUGAAUAAAAUUUGAUAAUACUAAUCAUAAUAAUCUUCUACUCCCACUACUUAAAGUUCUUUGCCUCUUUUUUUGUCAGCUUGUCAAUGUCAAUGUCAGCUUUCUUAUAUAGCACAUUUAAAAACAGCCAGUGGUCUACCAAAGUGCUUUACAGUAAAAGAGCCAGAGACAAUAAAAAAACUAUAAAAACAAAAAAAGCAUGAAACAUAUAAAAACAUAAAACAACAAUAUAGAUAAAUACAGCAAAUAAAUAAAAUACCCAAUAAAAGUAGCUAUACUUCCCCAAAAGCUAAAGUGAACAGGUGCGUCUUUAAAAGUGGAAAGGCUGUUAGCAGUGCGCACUGUCAGGGGUAAAGCAUUCCACAAAGUGGGAGCCAUGAUGGAAAAUGCUCAAUCGACCCCAGGUUUUAAAAAGGAUCAAGGAACGUCGAAAACCACCUGAUUUUUGUCUUCUAUUUAUAAAUUCCACUGUUGGAGCUGCAGAGCAGACAACGCCAUAGAAGAUAGAAAAAGAGUGUACAAAUCCAGGAGAAGGUGGGAUUGUGACGGCGUUGACCACGGGUAAACAGGUUUCUCACAUAAUUUCAUAUCUUUCAGCUUGAUGCUGAUGAAAUUUGAAAGUGUAAUCAGCGAAACGAAAGCUAACGGCGAGCAGGUGUGACUUGCCUUUGAUCAUAACGGAGACCAAUUGCAAUUAGACCCAAAAUGGCUGGACGGCGGUAUCAGGGGGCUGCUUGCAGAUUAUGUAUUUUUAAUCAGAGUUGUUAGCAUCUGUGAUGGAUGCCCGUUUUACUCACACCAGCCCCUGAUGGCAUACGUCAUGUUUGCUAGCUGUGAAUUAUCACCGUGUGAAUGCUGUCCAUUAACUGCAUGAGGAAACGCACAUCCCCCAUUGUGUUGUCCUACCUCUACUGAUGCAGACUUACUUUGGUUUGUCUCUGAACCAGCUCAACAGCACAGAUGAAAAUACGAACAACCAGAGAAAUUCUGUAAUUUUUUUAAUGAACCUAUUUCACACCCUGAGAGUUGGACUAUCCUCUCCAACAUGAAGGGUCUCACAUACUCCAUCAGCUUGAGGGGGUUGUGAGUUUUGGAGAUGCUAUCCGGCCCCUGACUGUCAUAUCUCCCCUUUGGAUUUAUGAUCAGCAAAAACACACCCACUCCGUCUUUAUUCCUCCAACACUGGCGGCAGCGGCAAUAACGUUAAAGCUUAUCGAUAUUACAGUCUUUAAUAAUUUUGCCACAGGGUCCGCUUAAUACCAGGUUUUGAGACCCAUCCCUGUUAUUGAUUACCUUUAAGCUCCUCAUGGCUCCUCGCUGUUUCACACCACAGGCCUUGUGUCUGUAUGUCUGUCUGCAAAAUACCGGCUUAUGAACCAAGAUGAAGACAAAAUGGCUCGGCUUAACUCUGUUUACUUUGCCGUUUUAGAGGAUAAAGUUUAAAGAUACUGAUAUCUACUUACAGAUUUGUUAAAAAAAUUGAUCGAAGGCUGUCCCGCUGUGAAGGACUCUCAAACUGCUAAGUUGCUGACUGUUAACUUGACUCAGUGUGUUUGGCUUCAGCGUUUUCCUGCAACUUAAAAAGGUCCUUACACACUGGGAAGGACGCAAAUAUACAACGUCCAAUUUUGGACGAUCCAAUUUUGCGACUUUCCGGGGGGAAAAAAGACGCGUCCUGGGUGGAAGCAAAAGACUGACACAACAGCAGAAUGACUGUUUUUCAGUUCUGAUUAGACAUUAGUGUUGAGAUGUCUGUCUGUCAUGAUAGCAUGUACUGACUCGGGGCCAGUACCAGAUAAGCACAUUAAACUAUAAUCCAUAAACGUAAGGUAACAACUGAGACCUAAUGGUGCUGUGACAGCAACACGAUUGAGUUUGAGACAGUGAAAAUACAUAUGGUAUGUUGUAUCUGAACAGGUUAGCUUACAAGCUAAAGUUACUUAGCACAGAUGAAAGUUAAAACAAAGACGUUUAGCAAACUGUUAAAGCACACAAACCAUCGUCAUAUGAGAAAUCCAACGCUAUGACUCUCCACAAGUUGUCCUUCAGGUCGUUAUCUUUGUAAUGUUUGUGUCUUUUAUCAAAAAGCACUCUGUUCUCUGACACGUAAACAAGCAGCCAGUCGGCCAUGUUGGAUAUACCGGUGAAUCUGA
Molecule: long non-coding RNA, 12237 nt
Filed under: Xyrichtys novacula (pearly razorfish)
Lineage: Eukaryota; Metazoa; Chordata; Actinopteri; Labriformes; Labridae
Source: RNAcentral